Molecule: long non-coding RNA, 4293 nt
Organism: Alexandromys fortis (reed vole)
Lineage: Eukaryota; Metazoa; Chordata; Mammalia; Rodentia; Cricetidae
Exons: 2
Source: RefSeq, a predicted model, not a curated record
ACAACCUGGGAGCUGGGAAGUGGGCCAGCACAGUGCUCAAAAAAAAAAAAAAGACCAUAAGACCAUGCAGUGUGAGGCUAGCCUGGUCUACACAGUGAGUUCCAGGACAGUCAGGACUAGAUUGAGAGACUCUGUCUCAAAAACAAAACAAAAUAAUAAAAAAAAUUAAUACCAUGGCAUUGCAUUCUUCUCAGUUAAUGUCAUUUUUUUUCUUAAAAGCUUAAGAAUUACUCAGAUCUGCUCAGAACCCUGCAAGCGCCAGCACACAAAUCCCCGACUUGAUAAGGUGGGAGGAAACGUCACAAGACAGACGUGAAGAAAUGAUUGGCUCCAAUCCUGCACCAAGCUGGCUCCUAACCCAAGGAGAGGGUCAGAGAGAAUCCGUUCUGCAGCUUGCAUCAACUGCAGCAGGUCAGGGUCCCCCCACCAUGCAGGUGUCCCACGCAGGCACCCGGUCAAAACACAAAGAUCACCACAAGCAGUACCUACUUUUCCUGGCACAUUAUGCCACACUCGAUGGGCUCUGCCAAUUCUCCAACGAGAAGCUGGGAAGACUUUGGUGGAACCAGGGCUUACUUUCUAGGGCAGAGACUAGAUUCCACACGCCAAGACUGCACUGUACAGAUGCCUGACGCUGUACCCGCUCCUCUGUGGUGGUUUCCAUGAAAAUGGCUCCCACAGACUCAUAGGGAACGGUCUUACGAGAGGGGCGGCCUUGUUGGUUCCAGAAGCUCAAGCCAGGCCCAGUGACUGCCUCACUCUUCCUGCUGCCUGCUGAUCUGAAUAUAGAACCCUCAGCUGCCCUUCCCACACCAUGUCUGCCUGCAUGCUGCCAUGCUUCCGGCCAUAAAGAUAAUGGUUCUCGUGUUAUUGUAGUGUGUGUUUUCCUUUACACAUGCUAAUCAUUCAAAUAGUUUUUACUUCAGUUUCAUUCAGUAUUUUAUGUUGUCACAAGUUUUGAUAACUGGAAAGAAACUUGUUUGCUAUGUCUUUAUUAUUUUGAAAACAGAUCACUUCUUAUUGUACAGAGAAUCACUGUAUAUUCACCAUGAAGAAAUUGUGUGCAGUAGAAAUAAACCCCUUUCAAACUAACCAAUUUUUGCAUUCUUUCCAAAACAUGGUCUUUCAUGUGUCCCCCUCUCCCCCACAAAUAAUGUAAAUCGUAAAUCUUUAGGUAUAGAGGUUAUAGAGACAUUUGAGAAGUCUAGAGAAGGACAUUAAUUCCUAAUCUGAAGAUUUUUUUUAAAGAUAGAGGGACAUGCAAAAAGAAUCAAACACUAUCAAAGAAUUUGUUUUGCCUUUAUAUUUCUUCUACCUCUUUUUAGUGUUAGAAUUGCAUUUUAAUUGAAGAGGUCAUGAAUUUCAGUUUUGAAGGUGGCACAGCAAUGAGUAUUUUCUGGCCCUCCUUUGUAAAGAAGAAAAUUCAGGCUAUCAGUACGAGCUCAUUAACCUGGAAUGCAUUUCAGCAUAACCUAAGCUAGUGGUCCUGGCUAAGGAUACAGACAUAAAAACAUCCCACAGAAUUUUUUCUAAAUGAACUAGAUGUUUUUGGCUGGAAUUAACUGAAAUGAGUGAUUUGGAGUUUUGACAGCAAUGUGCUGUUGCAUACUACAUCUGAUCCUGACUUCCCUGUUGUUAGGAACCAUUGUGUUUCCUCUUACCAAAUUCCUUUAUUUCCAGUCACCCAUUUUUCCAAAGUUUCUUCAUGUCACAGCAGUCUUGGAGACAGCCUUCACACAAAAGUAGUUCUUCCUUUGUCUACAAUUCCUAGUUGCUCUUUGUUCUCUAUGAAUUAACUGUUGAGUGGUCUUUUCUACACUUAGACAUUACAGAGGUAUCCAUUCAUUCUUAAGACCACACAGGAAAUUACAGGGUCCCGAUUAUGCCACAAAUUUGCCUAGAUUUUUUUCCUUGAAAUUUAAAAUUCUCUUCCAUAAGAACUAUAAAACAAAUUUCUUAACUGCCUUCCUUUCUUUGGGGACAAGGAACAGAACUAAGUGCCACUUAGCUUUGGACUCAAAGCUACAUCAAGAUUCUCAUUCUGUGCAGGAGUAGGUGAAAGGGUCUAAGAAGUGUUUGUACACAUUUACAUUGAGCAAUAUGCCUAUCUGUGCAGUAACAUCUUGACACCCGCACCCCUCCAGGUGUCAGUGAAGUCUACACUAUGAAAACAAAAUAAUCCAUUAGAAGGUCCCUACCCGUGGUCAUUCUCCAGACAGCUGUAUUGCCCAAAUAGAGUAGACAGAAUGAAUAGGUUAUACUAAUCUCCCAGGAAUAUUGCUAAACAUAAAAAGUUCUUGGCAGUAGGCUUCAGAAUGAACCUACGGAAUUCCUUAUAAUUUGAAAGGAAAGCGGUUUUAGAUUUGAAAUGUAUGUAGUUUUCUAAUAAGUCUUGAUCCAAGAUGUUUAAUUAUGUUUAAGGUUCAUUUAAAGUAAUGAAUUACUAGAGAGUUCUUCAAACUUAAUGUUAGUACAUGCAUUAUUAAUAUGAAUUGUAAAAUACAAUUCAGCCUUUUAUUGUAUUAAAUGAUUUUUUGAGCUGCAUGUAGUAAUGAACUAGUUCUCCCCAGACAUGGUGGCUUUAUAAAUAAUGUAAAAUUGACCUGUUUUUAGUUUUUAAUAAUUGGGAUUUUUCUUAAAACUAGACUGUGAUAGAAAAUGAUUGUUUAGGAAUAUUGAGUUUCAAGUUCUUAGGUCAGUGCAUAAACUAAUACUUAAUGUGAUUAUGUUUAAAUUGGGACAGCAUCUCUUUUUACUCUGUUCCUUUCCCACCCUGACAAGUGUCUAACCACAUUAGGAUUGUCUUAGUUUGCCUGUACUUCUUAAAAUUUGAAAAUCAGAUAAUUUAAAUGCUGUCUAGCAUGAAAUGUUAGGAAGAAACCACAAAUACCACAGUUCAAUAUCUUAAUCGUGCUGUUUUUCAUGGGCCAAAGGGACAACCAAAAACAUAAAACAUUAAAAAUUUAACUAUCCCAUCAUGAUUUGUGCCAACAUCCUCCCCCUCCCCCAUAUAUACACACACAUACUAAUAACUGCAAACACCACUCUGUACUUAAAACACUGUCUUGAAGUGUUUGUUCUUGGUGGUGGGUUGCUACACCACAAUCAUCUCACAGUCUUAGACUCAGCCAGGAGAUGGCUGGUUUCUUGAACAAAAGGACUUCAACCUAGAUUUCCUCAAGUUCCAGCUUGAAUUUUUCUAUUGUCAGCACUAAAAUCAUAGGCACAUUUUCCCAAGCUAUGCUUUUGUUCAGAUGUGGGUACCCAGCGUAAAUUUUUGAAAUUGGGUUACCCACCAUUAGUUUAGUUUAAUAGUGAAAUUAUUCUUAUCCAUAAUAAAAUUUAGAAAUAUUUUUCAACACCUGUAAUUUUUUUCUCAUCUUUAACAGUCACAGUUGCAGAUUAUAUUUCUAGAGCUGAGUCUCAGAGCAGACAAAGAAACCUCCCAAGGGAAACUUUGGCUAAAAACAAGAAAGAAAUGGCAAAAGAUGUGAUUGAAGAGCAUGGCCCUUCAGAAAAGGCAAUAAAUGGUCCAACUAGCGCUUCUGGCGAUGAAAUUCCUAAACUACCGCGUACUCCAGGAGAAGAAAAGACUAAGAACUUAAAAGAAGAAAGCACUCAAGAAGCAGCAGUCCUGAAUGGUGUUUCAUAACUGAAGGAAGUUCCUAGUUUACAGUUCUUUUACAUUACAGUUACAAUAGUGCUUGUACAAGCUUGCCAAAGAUAGAAUUCGGAUCGCCAGUCUUACAUCGCACUUUCAGUUCCUCCAUUUGGAAUUCAGAAAGGGGGAGGGAUCCUGAAGAAAUCAUAUGUUAAACAUACUUUGACACCUACUGUGUUAAAAAUAUAUCAUCAGAUGUGCCUUGAGAAUAGUAUAUGUAACAUUAAAAAAAGUUGCUGGCUAUAGGAAAUGUUAUUUUGUUUUCAAAAUAUGGCAGAGAUGGGAGGUGGGUGGGGUGGGGUCCCUAACGUAAUAUUCUUUAUGAAAGCAUUAGCUGCUUUUGUUACAUUUUUAAUAAUAUGCAACCACUUCUUCACCUGAGGAAAACUAGAAUGAAGCAGUUUAAAAUAUUUUGCACUGAAUUGUAAUUUCUUCAUUAGUUUAGUCUGGAAACUGGUCUGUUAUGUGUUUUAAAUGCUGUUUGUAGAGGCAAGUCUGCAGACCACUGGAAUACAUACGUUAACUCAUCUGCAGGGACACGGGGUGAUAUUGGCAGUGACUGUUCUACAUUGAGGCUUUGUUUGGUUUAUUUAUUAAAGUGUACAGUAUUUAAAAAAAAAUCAAACAUAGCU